RNAcentral lists this ribosomal RNA (476 nucleotides) under Stenomelania offachiensis. RNAcentral describes it as "partial 16S ribosomal RNA". It matches the Rfam family "Bacterial large subunit ribosomal RNA", at positions 1858 to 2601 of the family's 2925-position model. Lineage: Eukaryota; Metazoa; Mollusca; Gastropoda; Thiaridae. The record is from RNAcentral.
CCUGCCCAGUGAAUAGUUUUAACGGCCGCGGUACCCUGACCGUGCAAAGGUAGCAUAAUCAUUUGCCUUAUAAUUGAAGGCUGGCAUGAAUGGUCUGACGAGAGCAACACUGUCUCCUCUUUAUUACCUAAAAAUUAACCUAUAGGUGAAGAGGCCUAUAUAAAAUUGAAGGACAAGAAGACCCUGUCGAGCUUAAAAGAAAAGUAGAGGUUAGUUAUCAGAAGAGAUCAAUAAACUACAUAGCUUUUUAGUUGGGGCGACUAAGGAACAAAUAAAGCUUCUUUUACUUCUGUAAAUUUAUGGAUUCAGAUCCAGCAAAGCUGAUCAGAAAAAUUAGUUACCGCAGGGAUAACAGCAUAAUCUCCUUUGAGAGACCUAAUCGAAAAGGGGGGUUGUGACCUCGAUGUUGGACUAGAAUAUCCUGAAGAUGCAGACGUCUUCAAAGGUUGGUCUGUUCGACCAUUAAAAUUCUACGU